ACUGCCAUACCACGUUGAGUAAACCGGUUCUCGUACCAUCAGUGAAGUUAAGCAACCUCGAGCUUGGUCAGUACCUAGAUGGGUGACUACUUGGAAAUACCAGGUGCUGUAAG
Acanthosepion pharaonis is the source of this 113-nucleotide non-coding RNA. Lineage: Eukaryota; Metazoa; Mollusca; Cephalopoda; Sepiida; Sepiidae. The record is from the annotation of a GenBank genome assembly.